Molecule: ribosomal RNA, 524 nt
Filed under: uncultured bacterium
Lineage: Bacteria
Description: partial 16S ribosomal RNA
Rfam family: Bacterial small subunit ribosomal RNA
Source: RNAcentral
UGGGGAAUAUUGCACAAUGGGCGAAAGCCUGAUGCAGCAACGCCGCGUGAGUGAUGAAGGCCUUCGGGUUGUAAAGCUCUGUCUUUUGGGACGAUAAUGACGGUACCAAAGGAGGAAGCCACGGCUAACUACGUGCCAGCAGCCGCGGUAAUACGUAGGUGGCAAGCGUUGUCCGGAUUUACUGGGCGUAAAGGAUGCGUAGGCGGAUUUUUAAGUGAGAUGUGAAAUACCCGGGCUUAACUUGGGUGCUGCAUUUCAAACUGGGAAUCUAGAGUGCGGGAGAGGAGAAUGGAAUUCCUAGUGUAGCGGUGAAAUGCGUAGAGAUUAGGAAGAACACCAGUGGCGAAGGCGAUUCUCUGGACCGUAACUGACGCUGAGGCACGAAAGCGUGGGUAGCAAACAGGAUUAGAUACCCUGGUAGUCCACGCCGUAAACGAUGAGUACUAGGUGUAGGAGGUAUCGACCCCUUCUGUGCCGCAGUUAACACAAUAAGUACUCCGCCUGGGAAGUACGAUCGCAAGAUU